GUGUGUGCCUGUGAAUGUUUGCGCAGGCAUGUGUGUGUGUUCCUGUGUGUGUUUGUUCCUGUGUGAGUGAGUGAAAGAAGCAGAGCAGUAGAGUGUGUGUCUGUGUGUGUGUGUGUGUGUGUGUCUGUGUGUGUGUGUGUCUGUGUGUGUGUGUGUGUCUGUGUGUGUGUGUGUGUGUGUGUGUGUCUGUGUGUGUGUGUCUGUGUGUGUGUGUGUGUGUGUCUCUGUGUGUGUGUGUGUGUGUGUGUGUGUGUGUGUGUGUGUGUGUGUACGUGUGUACG
Long non-coding RNA from Gasterosteus aculeatus aculeatus (three-spined stickleback), 281 nucleotides. The record is from Ensembl. NCBI's taxonomy places the organism in Eukaryota, Metazoa, Chordata, Actinopteri, Perciformes, Gasterosteidae.